AUCAACUUUCGAUGGUAGGAUAGAGGCCUACCAUGGUGGUAACGGGUAACGGGGUGUUAGGGCACGACACCGGAGAGGGAGCCUGAGAAACGGCUACCACAUCCAAGGAUGGCAGCAGGCGCGCAAAUUACCCAAUCCCGACACGGGGAGGUAGUGACAAUAAAUAACAAUACGGGGUUCUUUCGGAUCUCGUAAUUGGAAUGAGUACAAUUUAAAUCUCUUAACGAGGAACAAUUGGAGGGCAAGUCUGGUGCCAGCAGCCGCGGUAAUUCCAGCUCCAAUAGCGUAUAUUAAAGUUGCUGCAGUUAAAAAGCUCGUAGUUGAAUUUCGGGACCAAUAUGUCGGUCGUGCUUCGGUACGUACUGUCAUAAUUGGUUUCUCCCUUCUGAAGAACCUUGAUGUCAUUAAUUUGGUGUCUUGGGGAAUCAGGACUGUUACUUUGAAAAAAUUAGAGUGUUUAAAGCAGGCUCGCGCUUGAAUACAUUAGCAUGGAAUAAUGAAAUAGGACGUUUGAUUCUAUUUUGUUGGUUUCUAGGAUCGACGUAAUGAUUAAUAGGGAUAGUUGGGGGCGUUAGUAUUCAAUUGUCAGAGGUGAAAUUCUUGGAUUUAUUGAAGACUAACUACUGCGAAAGCAUUUGCCAAGGAUGUUUUCAUUAAUCAAGAACGAAAGUUAGGGGAUUGAAGACGAUCAGAUACCGUCGUAGUCUUAACCAUAAACUAUGCCGACUAGGGAUCGGAUGAUGUUAAUUUUUUAAUGACUCAUUCGGCGCCUUACGGGAAACCAAAGUGUUUGGGUUC
RNAcentral lists this ribosomal RNA (798 nucleotides) under uncultured Glomus. Its description in RNAcentral is "SSU rRNA". It matches the Rfam family "Eukaryotic small subunit ribosomal RNA", at positions 314 to 1114 of the family's 1831-position model. Lineage: Eukaryota; Fungi; Glomeromycota; Glomeromycetes; Glomerales; Glomeraceae. The record is from RNAcentral.